AGAAAGUUAGUCUAACCAAGACAGUUGAUUUCGACUCAACAGAUUAUAGCCAUACCCUAUAACUUUCUU
This 69-nucleotide transfer RNA is filed under the name Thryothorus ludovicianus (Carolina wren). RNAcentral describes it as "tRNA-Arg". Lineage: Eukaryota; Metazoa; Chordata; Aves; Passeriformes; Certhiidae. The record is from RNAcentral.